UGGAACUUUGGUGUGCUCAAUUGUAAAAUGU
This 31-nucleotide non-coding RNA is filed under the name Mus musculus (house mouse). The record is from RNAcentral. Lineage: Eukaryota; Metazoa; Chordata; Mammalia; Rodentia; Muridae.